Molecule: ribosomal RNA, 360 nt
Filed under: uncultured eukaryote
Lineage: Eukaryota
Description: SSU rRNA
Rfam family: Eukaryotic small subunit ribosomal RNA
Source: RNAcentral
AGCUCCACUAGUGUAUGCUAAAGUUGCUGCAGUUAAAAAGUUCGUAUUUGGAUUUUUGGCUUCCGGUGUUGGGUCCCGCCUUCUAGGUGUGUGACCUUUUGCCGGGCCUUCUGAGCGCGGGUUUUACUCGUGUUCUGGUUACCGUGAGGAAAUUGGAGUGCUCAAAGCAGGCGUAUGCAGCUGAACACAUUAGCAUGGGAUAACAAGGCAGGACUCUUUUCUUGUUUUGUUGGUUUCUCGUAGAAGAGAGUAAUGAUUAAUAGGGGCAGUUGGGGGCAUUAGUACGGCUGCGUCAGAGGUAAAAUUCGUAGAUCGUAGUCAGACUAACUUCUGCGAAAGCAUUUGUCAAGGAUGCUUUCA